Long non-coding RNA from Macaca mulatta (Rhesus monkey), 3376 nucleotides. The record is from Ensembl. NCBI's taxonomy places the organism in Eukaryota, Metazoa, Chordata, Mammalia, Primates, Cercopithecidae.
UUUUUUUUUUUUUUUUUUAAAGGAGAUGGGAUCUUGCUCUGUUGCCCAGAUGGGAGUGCAGUGGCAUGAUCAUAGCUGACUGCAGCCUCAAACUCCUGGGCUCAAGUGACCCAUCUUGGCCUCCUAAGUAACUGGGACUAUAGGCAUGUACCACCUGGCCUAGCUAAUUUUUAAAUUUUUUGUUAAGAUGGAUUCUCCCUGUGUUGCCCAGGCUGAUCGUGAACUCCUGGCUUCAAGUGAUCCUCCUGCCUCAGCCUCUUUGUAAUCCCAGACUGUUGGGAUUACAGGCAUGAGCCACUGUCUCUGGCAGUGCACUUUAUUUUCGGUAAACUCUGGUAAUGUGUUUAUCAGAAAGCCUUAGGGCUUGACCUGCACACAUUUUCUUGGUACUUUGCUUCUUGCAGUUCUUUUCAUACUCUAGGGACUUUAUUGCCAUAUUUUCUUUACUAUGGUGAAAUAUCUAGUAUUUCAUUCUGGUAUUCUGAAGAAAGUUUUCCCAUUUUAUUAAGAUAUAAAUCAUAUUCCAUAAGUCACCCUAUUAAAGUGUACAAUUUGGCAGCUUUUGGUAUAUUCACAAAGUUGUACGACUGUCACCAGUGUGUAAUAUCAGACUGUUUUGUUUCCUCAAAAAGAAAUUCCAUGCCUGUUAGCAGUCGCUCCCCAUUCCUCCCUUCCUCAGCCACAGGCAAUGACUAAUCUACCUGCUGUCUCUAUGGAUUUGCCUAUUUUGUACAUUUCCUAUAAGUGAAAUCAUACAAUAUUUCACCUUUUGUCUGACUUGUUUCACUUAGUGUAAUGUUUUUGAGGUUCAUCCAUGUUGUAGUAUGUAUCAGUAUUUGUUUCCUUUUUAUGGCCAAAUAAUGUCCCACUGUAAUCCAUUUUGACUAUUAUGAGUAAUGCUUCUCUGAACAUUCAUGUACAAGUUUUUGCAUGGACAUAUGUUUUCAUUUGUCUUGAGUAUAUGAAUUGAUAUACUCAAUUGAUAAUUGAGGGGUCAUAUGAUAAUUGUGUUUAACAUUGUGAGAACCGCAAAACUGUUUACCAAAGUGGCUACACCAUUUUGCAUUCCCACCAGCAGCGUAUGAGGGUUCUGAUUUCUCCACAUCCUUCAGUGAAGUGGCAUCUCACUAUAAUUUUGAUUUGCAUUUCCCUAAUGACUGUGUUGAACAGUUUUGCAUAUGCUUUUUGGUCAUUUGUACAUUUUCCUUAAAGAAAUGUCUCUUCAGAUGUUUUGCUUAUUUUUAAAUUGUGUUGCCUUUUUGUUAUUGAAUUGUAAGAAUUCUUUAUAUAUUCUGGAUGCAAGUCCUUUAUCAGAUAUAGGAUUUGCAAAUAUGUUCUCCCAUCCUGUAGUUUCUCUUUUUACUUUCUUGGUGGUUAUUUUUUGAGGGACAAAAGUUUCUAAUUUUGAUGAAGUCCCAUUUAUUGAUUUUGUUCUUUCUUAUGCUUUUGGUGCCAUAUCGAAGAAACUGUUGUUUAAUCCAAGGUCACAAAAAUUUAUGUCUUUUUUUCCUAAGAGUUUUAGUGCUUACAUUUAGGUCUUUGAUAUAUUUUUAGUUAAUUUUUCUAUAUGGUAUGAGGUAGAUCCCAAUUUUUUUUACAGUGGGGGCAAAAGCUCACUAUCUUCCAAAUACGUACAUCAGUAGCACUUUCAGUUUCCACCUUGCUUGAUGAUAUUUUAAUCAUUACAUGAUUCUGCCACUUCAUUUGUUUCACCCUCGACUCCCUGCUGAGUAUUUGCUGUACCAAAACUAUACUAACUUUUGCACUUAUCGUAGAAUGUGAAAGUUAGGAAGAUGUUUAUUGAUUAUGCAGUUGAAUCUCUAUUGGAGUAGAACCCCCUGCAUCUGUGACAGAAGAGCUUUCAACUUCUGGAACAGUUUUAGAGGUGGUUAGUUCACUGAAGUGUGCUGUGUUAUAAUACAAUAGUUGUAUUAAGAAGUCUUACCUAUUCAAACAUCAUUUUAUAAAUAAAAAAAGUUUCAGAGGGAACAGGUGUUUAGGAACUCAAUAGUUUUAAUAAGUUAUUUUGCUUUUAGCAGUUUAAAUUAAAGAGAGUUGGUGAUUGCAUCAAAACCCACAGUGUUUUAUAAUUAAAUGAGAACUUUAUAUCCACCAGUGUAGUAGGAGAAAUGCUUGUAUUCCUAAAGCAAUUCAGGUCAGUUUUUAAAAGCUCUAAUGGCUAGAAAGCUUAUUCUUUUGUUGAGUUGGAAUGUUGGCCUUGGUAAUGACUACCCAUUUUAUCAAGGUCCUCUUAAAACUCAGCGUCUAAAAUUAAACUUCACUUAUGUGCAGAGUGGUGCAGAGUGUAAUUGGCUGAUAGUUUUUUUGUUUUUCCUUUUCAUAUAACCCAGAAUUAAGCUGUUAUUGGAAGCCAUGCUAUCUUUGGGGCUCAUCUGGAGUUUGUUAUCAGUGAAACCCCUCUCUAACAAGAGUUUCUAAGUGCGUCUCCUGUUCCUUUGAAACAAUUGUGAAAUGUGCUUUGCAUCUAUAGAUCUGGACUCAUCUCUGUGACUUCUUGGCUGUGUCACCUUAGCCAGAACACCCAGUUUCUUUGAUCUCAACUCGCUUUUCUGUUGAAUGGAGUUAAUUCCUCCAUUUUUGCAGUAUUGGAUGAUUAAAUGAAAUGAUUUGUGUGUGUGGGUGCGUAUGGCUCUAGUGAUGAAAGUAAGGCUUGUGAAAACAGCCUUCUGUCACAGGUACUUCUUUGCUGGCCUUACUUAGUCAGAUAUUAGCUAUUUGUUAGCAUCCGUCCAGUUCAGAUGUCUUUAUAUCCUGAAUUGAUAGGAAGUAUUUCAAACAUGCAGAAAAGAAUAAAUAGUGGAAAAAUAAUUCUGUGCACCUUCUGCCCAAUUUAGAUCUUAACAUUUUGCCUUAUUUCAGAUUUUUUAAAAAAGAAGUAAAACAUUGUGGAGUUGAACCUUCUGUGUACCCUCUUUCUUUUACCUCUUCCCCAUUCCCCAGAGGAAACAUUGUUCUGAAUAUAUUUGUACCUAUACAUAAUGUAAUUGUUUUGCAUGUUUUAAACCUCAAAUACAUACUAUACUGCAAUACGCUCUUGCAGUAGCCUUUUUUUUCUCAUCCUUUUUUUUCCUGCGAUUUCUGUUUCAUGGCUACAUCACAAUUUAUUUACUCAUGCUCCUCUGGGUGGUUAUUAAGUAAUUUCCAUGUUUUAUUAUUGGACAAUGCUAUAGUCAACAUUCCUGAACAUAUUGCUUGCUUGAGCCACCGCGCCCGGCACGUAUGUGCAUUUCUGUAGAGAGCUUGGAAGGAGAGAGUGUGUGUGUGUGCGUGCACACACAUGUACAUGUGCGCUUGCAUAUACGAUUGGAAUCUCUGGUUGAAAAGUAUAUGCAUCUUCAACUUUGGAGAAUAAUUU